UAGUGGCAGACGGGUGAGUAAUGUAUAGGAAUCUACCUAGUAGUACGGAAUAAUUGUUGGAAACGGCAACUAAUACCGUAUACGCCCUACGGGGGAAAAAUUUAUCGCUAUUAGAUGAGCCUAUAUUAGAUUAGCUUGUUGGUAGGGUAAUGGCUUACCAAGGCAAUGAUCUAUAGCUGAUCUGAGAGGAUGAUCAGCCACACUGGAACUGAGAUACGGUCCAGACUCCUACGGGAGGCAGCAGUGGGGAAUAUUGGACAAUGGGCGAAAGCCUGAUCCAGCCAUGCCGCAUGAGUGAAGAAGGCCUUUGGGUUGUAAAGCUCUUUUAGUGAGGAAGAUAAUGACGGUACUCACAGAAGAAGUCCUGGCUAACUCCGUGCCAGCAGCCGCGGUAAUACGGAGAGGGCUAGCGUUAUUCGGAAUUAUUGGGCGUAAAGGGCGCGUAGGCGGAUUAGUAAGUUAAAAGUGAAAUCCCAAGGCUCAACCUUGGAAUUGCUUUUAAAACUGCUAAUCUAGAGAUUGAAAGAGGAUAGAGGAAUUCCUAGUGUAGAGGUGAAAUUCGUAAAUAUUAGGAGGAACACCAGUGGCGAAGGCGUCUAUCUGGUUCAAAUCUGACGCUGANGCGCGAAGGCGUGGGGAGCAAACAGGAUUAGAUACCCUGGUAGUCCACGCUGUAAACGAUGAAUGUUAAAUAUGGGAAGUUUACUUUCUGUAUUACAGCUAACGCGUUAAACAUUCCGCCUGGGGACUACNGUCGCAAGAUUAAAACUCAAAGGAAUUGACGGGGACCCGCACAAGCGGUGG
This 804-nucleotide ribosomal RNA is filed under the name Wolbachia endosymbiont of Oedothorax gibbosus. RNAcentral describes it as "bacterial SSU rRNA". It matches the Rfam family "Bacterial small subunit ribosomal RNA", at positions 93 to 935 of the family's 1533-position model. The record is from RNAcentral. Lineage: Bacteria; Pseudomonadati; Pseudomonadota; Alphaproteobacteria; Rickettsiales; Anaplasmataceae.